CAGUGUCACUUGAUAUGUAUGAGAAUAUUAAAUGUAUUAUUAACACGAUUAAUAUUGAACUCUUAAAGUAAUGUGGCCCCGUUGCAACGCACGGGCGUUCUUCUAGUUCCUAUUAGUAUAUCUCUCCCAGGGCCUAUCUACCUACCCCACAUAAAGCCACUGUAGUCGUCCCGCCCCAAACCGGCUCAGACGCGCUGCCAUGUUCUGGGCCACGGCUCGGGCCUGAGACCAUAACGGCCACCAUCCACUGGCCAUCUUAUCUACUGUGUCUCACCUACCACCCAUCCUCCUCUCGAUCCUUCCUGCUCCUCUCUCCUUAUACCAUACAACCUCGCUGCAAGAAACCAGACCGAGGCCAUGUGCUCAUCAGCUUCUUCCUCGUACCAUGAGGCAUGAGAGGAAGCUCCUGCUCAUCCCUUCCCGGAUUGCGGCGGCAAGGUCGUCACCUUUGUCUCGCGGGCCGGAGCCCGGUUCUAUAUGUGCGUAAACAAGGAUGUAAGAUUUCUGCUCCAAUCACUUAAUAUGUGCACUCCGCUCUUAGAUUUACCUUCUUCUCCACCAUGCGCGCAGGCUAGACUAGCGGCUUCAUGAGAUCCACCGACACUUACCUGCCGAAGCUAAGUUGCUAUGACCUGCCCCACGUGCACGGAUUGCAGCAGCCGCUGUUGUCCGUGCAUCCAUCGUCGUCUCUCCAACACAGAUCUCGUCGGGAGCAGCCUUUCCCCGACGAAACACAGAUCAACCACCAAGCUGCACAUGUACGUCCUCAGCCACAGAUUCUGCAGUCGGCCCCUCACUCCGGUUCUUCGUGGUGUUGCUCGUCUGACUCUCAUCGCGUAUUUGGUGCUCCUGGCCGGCAGCAACCUGGUGCUUGUGUUAGCGUGGUUGGUUCUGAUUUUCGGGCAGCAUAACAAUUAGUAUUUCUUUCUAGCUAAGUAGAGCCAGGUGGCAGCGUCCAAGAUGUACUACGAACAUAUGUAAUCCCAAAUAGAUUUUGGUACUAAGCGCUAAGUCCUUUAUCAUUAGCCCUAGUGUUUUCUUGUCUGUAAUCUCGUGUAAGCAUCGGUUUAAGUAAAAAUACUACUGCUGCCAGACAUGAUCACUGUUCCUACACAUUUAAUUAUCCACGGCACCUUCGUUUUUGUUUUCCAACUCUUCACCAUGUGUGCUUCCAAUCCAACAGCUUCAUUUCGUUUUGUCCUAUGGGGGUUGGACAAGCUGAACCUGGGUGGACACGCAGCUUCCUUUUAUGUUCGAAAUUCAAAAAUUUAAACAAGUAUGUGAGGGCAAACUCACCGUUGAAGGAAAUGACAGCAUAAGCGAGGCAUUAAAUGCAAGCACCCACCACACAAUGAAAAACAAACACCUUCCUCAGCACACAUGCCAUGGUGCUUGCAUUCUAAAUUCCCCUAGGAAUCUGCAGGCAUAGUCCAGAGCAAAACUCAGCAUCAGCAAAAUAAUCUGACGCAGAUGAACCAUCAUUGUUUAGAGCAAAACAUGAAAAAAAAUCAAUACUCGGCUGCAACUAAUUUAAACAUAUUUUCCAUGUUUCACCCAUCAUACAGCAAUUGUUACAGUACCUCCAUCGUUACCAAGUCCUGAAAGUUAUAGUCGGAUACAUGAACAUCCGCAAAACAUGACAAUAGAUAAUUCUUGAGUUUGAUUGGCCUGCAACUACAUUCCACCUGCUAUAACCUAAGGUCCAU
This 1706-nucleotide long non-coding RNA is filed under the name Triticum aestivum (bread wheat). RNAcentral describes it as "long non-coding RNA (TAES_LNC022538)". Lineage: Eukaryota; Viridiplantae; Streptophyta; Magnoliopsida; Poales; Poaceae. The record is from RNAcentral.